Cygnus atratus (black swan) is the source of this 1257-nucleotide long non-coding RNA. RefSeq lists it as uncharacterized. The transcript is spliced from 4 exons. The record is from RefSeq and is a predicted model, not a curated record. NCBI's taxonomy places the organism in Eukaryota, Metazoa, Chordata, Aves, Anseriformes, Anatidae.
AGGCUGCAGCUGCUGUGUGAGAAGGAAUCCAGUUACGCAAACCUCAACAGAAGCCAUGCCUUGUUGCUGGGGGAGAAUGCUCUUGGUCAUUCUUCAUCCCUUUUUCCUGUGGGAUACUUGAAAACACAGGGGUCAAACUGAACCAAGUGGAAAAGCCAGCAAUCUCUCCAUUUUAAGGAACAUACCCUACUUAAAAGCAUGUCUCUGGCUGGAGUGAAGAUGGACUGGAUGACUUUGGUGUGCUCGAGGGCAGGACUGCCACCCGGAGGGACUCAGUCAGAGAAGCUGUCCUGAAAGACGAGCAUGGAGGAGGCAGAGGACCUCCGCAGCCAGGAUGUGCUGCUGCGGUGUGCAAUUGCACAAACCAAGCUGUUGUGUAUUCAGAGUCGCAUCUGCCUGUCCAAAUGACCAAAAUGAAGUAUUUGCUGCUUUCUACUUUAUUUAAACCUGCGGGAGCCAGUAAUGCUCAUCCUCCUCAUGCACCAAGGUAUCCACAUGUGCCACUCGCCAACCUGGGACUUCUUCACCAAACAAUGUCUGAGCAAAUCUCCUAAAAACAGAGCAACUGCUCACAGAUUAUUGUGAUCAUAAUUUGGUUGACAUAGCCUUUAUUACUAAUGGUGAUGCUGGAGAUGGAAAACCCAUCUUGAUUCUCAGAUCCCUGCUGGAAAGUAAUAAAAUAAAGAGGAACAAAAUCCAUGAGUGUAUUUGCUACCAAACCUUUGAAAAACACAAGAAUGGAACCCUGCCAAUACUGUUGCUGGCAAUUUUUCAGACCAGUGCCUCUCUCUGAGAUAGCAUUAGAAUUGGAAGUGCAUUUUAUAUCUAUGACAUUAGUAUCACAUUGUGUACAAAUGGAGAGUUUACAAUUAUUUGACGUUUACUGGUUUGCAUGGUAAUUAUUGUGUGCUGCUCUUAUAUCUUCAGUUUAUUUUUAAGCACCUUCCAGUAACGUAAUAAUUAGAAAAUAACUUCAGUUAUUGUGAAAAAUGUGUUUAUUUUGCUAACUGAAAGAAUGGACAAAGGAAGUGCUUCAGUGGAAGUGCCCUUAUAAAAAUGGAAGGUAUUGCAGUUUUUCAGUGAGGUCUUUGUUGAGAACAUCGGGUAAGGGAGGUUGGCUUUUACAUAGCCUCCUUUGUCCAUCUUUGUGCAAUGGCAGAAUUUGCAGCUAAUUCUGAUGGCAGAAGCUUCUCCUGUGGUGGUAGCUGAGGAUGAUAUAAUGUCAUGUACAACCAUAGGAAAUUUCCCCAAGCCAUA